Molecule: long non-coding RNA, 532 nt
Organism: Cavia porcellus (domestic guinea pig)
Lineage: Eukaryota; Metazoa; Chordata; Mammalia; Rodentia; Caviidae
Exons: 3
Source: RefSeq, a predicted model, not a curated record
CUGAGAUCUGUGUGGCCCCUCAUUCAUUUCCCACUGUGUGAUUUCUCUGGACUGCAAUCUGGCUGUCAUUGAUUGAGAAACAAACUUCCACCAUUGGAUUUCUGUCUCGGAUUGAGUGGACCCAGGAAGCAUCUUUCCACUAGAAAUUGUUGGAAAGUUCUGGCAUAGCUCACAAAACCCAGUCACUGGAUGAAUAGAUGGACAAUUCUGGAUGAAGUACCUGAGAGCUCAUGAGUUUGCAUAUUACACCAUGCCAAAUGUCACGCAAAACAGACAAUGGUUUUACUUUCACUGCAAAGUUAUUGGUGAACCUCUCACAAAACCCAUGGUUCAUGGAAGAGAUCUCAUCAGCAAAAAGGAACAGAAUGAUACAGAACAUAAGCUCACUUCAAAUCACAUCAGUGAGAAGUAUUAAAUCAGGGAAGCAGUGCAAAAUUUUGCAGGAUAGCAUCAACCAGAAGAGGAUAAAUUCAGGUGAGUGAUCUGUUUAGUAACAAACCAACAUCACAUUUCUUUGAAAUCCUAAGAGGCA